Molecule: non-coding RNA, 162 nt
Filed under: Ricinus communis (castor bean)
Lineage: Eukaryota; Viridiplantae; Streptophyta; Magnoliopsida; Malpighiales; Euphorbiaceae
Description: Bacterial small subunit ribosomal RNA
Rfam family: Bacterial small subunit ribosomal RNA
Source: Rfam by way of RNAcentral
ACAGCUGAUCCCGCUGCUGUCCGGGACAAAGGGUCGCGAUCCCGCGAGGGUGAGCUAACUCCAAAAAUCCGUCCUCAGUUCGGAUUGCAGGCUGCAACUCGCCUGCAUGAAGCCGGAAUCGCUAGUAAUCGCCGGUCAGCCAUACGGCGGUGAAUUCGUUCC